AGAGUUUGAUCAUGGCUCAGAUUGAACGCUGGCGGCAGGCCUAACACAUGCAAGUCGAACGGUAACAGGAAGAAGCUUGCUUCUUUGCUGACGAGUGGCGGACGGGUGAGUAAUGUCUGGGAAACUGCCUGAUGGAGGGGGAUAACUACUGGAAACGGUAGCUAAUACCGCAUAACGUCGCAAGACCAAAGAGGGGGACCUUCGGGCCUCUUGCCAUCGGAUGUGCCCAGAUGGGAUUAGCUAGUAGGUGGGGUAAAGGCUCACCUAGGCGACGAUCCCUAGCUGGUCUGAGAGGAUGACCAGCCACACUGGAACUGAGACACGGUCCAGACUCCUACGGGAGGCAGCAGUGGGGAAUAUUGCACAAUGGGCGCAAGCCUGAUGCAGCCAUGCCGCGUGUAUGAAGAAGGCCUUCGGGUUGUAAAGUACUUUCAGCGGGGAGGAAGGGAGUAAAGUUAAUACCUUUGCUCAUUGACGUUACCCGCAGAAGAAGCACCGG
RNAcentral lists this ribosomal RNA (499 nucleotides) under uncultured bacterium. Its description in RNAcentral is "bacterial SSU rRNA". It matches the Rfam family "Bacterial small subunit ribosomal RNA", at positions 8 to 496 of the family's 1533-position model. The record is from RNAcentral.